CUCUUUUACUGAAAACUGGUUAAAAAUUUCUGGUAACUUGUUCGAUGAAAAGGGUAGUGAAUUGGCAAUUUGACGUGGUAAGAAAGUUGUUGGGUUUGUGUUUUUGGUAAAGUGCAAGUUCAUGGUUUUGCCGGGAUACAUGUCCUUUUCCAUGAAAAAUAGAGCCACGUUUCGGUCAUCAUGAAGUUGAUUUUCGGUGGCAGCAUAAUUGUAGGCGAAUGGGUCUGGCCCUGGUUUUACUCCAACAUAUACAGGCUUUCCCUUGUGUCCAGUGUUAACAGUUACUCCACCUUUGCCAACACUUACAUUUGUUCUCUUCCCAGGCUUUCCAGUGUUAACACCAACGCCUCUACCUCCCACAUUAACAGUAGUACCCGGUUUUCCUUUCCCUGUGUUUACAUUUACUCCACCCUUCCCAACGUUUACAGAAGUGCCGCUGGGUUUUCCUUUUCCUGAAUUAACAUUUACUCCGCCCUUCCCUACAUUGACAGUAGUUCCUCCCGGCUUUCCCUUCCCUGCUUCAAC
RNAcentral lists this long non-coding RNA (525 nucleotides) under Manihot esculenta (cassava). RNAcentral describes it as "long non-coding RNA (MESC_LNC001472)". Lineage: Eukaryota; Viridiplantae; Streptophyta; Magnoliopsida; Malpighiales; Euphorbiaceae. The record is from RNAcentral.